Non-coding RNA from Acanthosepion pharaonis, 88 nucleotides. The record is from the annotation of a GenBank genome assembly. Lineage: Eukaryota; Metazoa; Mollusca; Cephalopoda; Sepiida; Sepiidae.
GUUGAAACACCGGUUACCGUACGAGCGUCGAAGUUAAGCGACGUCGUGCUUGGUCAGUACUUAGAUGGGUGACAUCUUGGGAAUACCA